RNAcentral lists this ribosomal RNA (626 nucleotides) under Trichoderma harzianum. Its description in RNAcentral is "eukaryotic LSU rRNA". The stretch from base 240 to 393 matches the Rfam family "5.8S ribosomal RNA". The record is from RNAcentral. Lineage: Eukaryota; Fungi; Ascomycota; Sordariomycetes; Hypocreales; Hypocreaceae.
AAAAGGGGUCUCCGUUGGUGACAGCGGAGGGACAUUACCGAGUUUACAACUCCCAAACCCAAUGUGAACGUUACCAAACUGUUGCCUCGGCGGGAUCUCUGCCCCGGGUGCGUCGCAGCCCCGGACCAAGGCGCCCGCCGGAGGACCAACCAAAACUCUUAUUGUAUACCCCCUCGCGGGUUUUUUUUAUAAUCUGAGCCUUCUCGGCGCCUCUCGUAGGCGUUUCGAAAAUGAAUCAAAACUUUCAACAACGGAUCUCUUGGUUCUGGCAUCGAUGAAGAACGCAGCGAAAUGCGAUAAGUAAUGUGAAUUGCAGAAUUCAGUGAAUCAUCGAAUCUUUGAACGCACAUUGCGCCCGCCAGUAUUCUGGCGGGCAUGCCUGUCCGAGCGUCAUUUCAACCCUCGAACCCCUCCGGGGGGUCGGCGUUGGGGAUCGGCCCUGCCUUGGCGGUGGCCGUCUCCGAAAUACAGUGGCGGUCUCGCCGCAGCCUCUCCUGCGCAGUAGUUUGCACACUCGCAUCGGGAGCGCGGCGCGUCCACAGCCGUUAAACACCCAACUUCUGAAAUGUUGACCUCGGAUCAGGUAGGAAUACCCGCUGAACUUAAGCAUAUCAAUAAGCGGAGGA